CCUACGGGAGGCUGCAGUGAGGAAUAUUGCUCAAUGGUCGGGAGACUGAACCAGCCAAGCCGCGUGAGGGAUGAAGGUACAGAGUAUCGUAAACCUCUUUUGUCAGGGAACAAAUGCGGGGACGUGUCCCCGGAUGAGUGUACCUGAAGAAAAAGCAUCGGCUACCUCCGUGCCAGCAGCCGCGGUAAUACGGAGGAUGCGAGCGUUAUCCGGAUUUAUGGGUUUUAAGGGGUGCGCAGGCGGGGUGUUAAGUCAGCGGUAAACGCCCGGGGCUCACCCCCGGCCCGCCGUGGAAACUGGCAGGCUAGAGUUGGAGAGAAGUAUGCGGAAUGCGCGGUGUAGCGGUGAAAUGCAUAGAUAUCGCGAAGAACUCCGAUUGCGAAGGCAGCAUGCCGGCUCCACACUGACGCUGAGGCACGAAAGCGUGGGUAUCGAACAGGAUUAGAUACCCGUGUAGUC
Molecule: ribosomal RNA, 459 nt
Filed under: uncultured bacterium
Lineage: Bacteria
Description: partial 16S ribosomal RNA
Rfam family: Bacterial small subunit ribosomal RNA
Source: RNAcentral